GACCGCGUAGCUCAGUUGGCAGAGCAUUGAGCUAUAGUAUUCCAAAGGUCGUGGAGUUCGAUUCUCACCGUGGCCA
This is a non-coding RNA of Paramuricea clavata, 76 nucleotides long. The record is from the annotation of a GenBank genome assembly. Lineage: Eukaryota; Metazoa; Cnidaria; Anthozoa; Malacalcyonacea; Plexauridae.